UUUAGUUUUUACCUUAACGUUCUGAGUUCUAAGUUCUAAAUUCUAACACGCUAAUCCAAAAGCACACUUGAUAAUUGAUACUGUGACAGUAUGGAGAAGAAGAAGCAGAACGAGAUUUGCAGAAUGAAAGCGCCUUCCUCUGUUCAUUCUACUCCGCAGUAGCAAAGCCACAACAGUGUGAAUCCGUGACAAAACUCAGUGGGAGGAGAAGGUGAAGGUUUAAGAAAAGUAAUGAGUACUUGCUUGCUCGAGAUGCAUGCCAAGGUGCAAGUUUCUACAUUUGGUCAUGCAGUUUCUUGAAGCUGUUCACCAGACAAGGUUCAUUUUUUUAUAACCCCUGUAUAUUGUAUAUAUACUAACUUCCAGUUAGAUGUUCAUAUUGUCUCAAGUUACCAUGUUUUUGCAUUGUGUCUUCCUGAAACUGAAGUUGCAA
This is a long non-coding RNA of Arachis stenosperma, 433 nucleotides long. RefSeq lists it as uncharacterized. The transcript is spliced from 3 exons. The record is from RefSeq and is a predicted model, not a curated record. NCBI's taxonomy places the organism in Eukaryota, Viridiplantae, Streptophyta, Magnoliopsida, Fabales, Fabaceae.